RNAcentral lists this ribosomal RNA (257 nucleotides) under uncultured bacterium. RNAcentral describes it as "partial 16S ribosomal RNA". It matches the Rfam family "Bacterial small subunit ribosomal RNA", at positions 78 to 339 of the family's 1533-position model. The record is from RNAcentral.
CGCAAGGUGCUGACGAGUGGCGAACGGGUGAGUAAUGCAUCGGAACGUGCCCAAUCGUGGGGGAUAACGCAGCGAAAGCUGUGCUAAUACCGCAUACGAUCUGUGGAUGAAAGCGGGGGACCUUCGGGCCUCGCGCGAUUGGAGCGGCCGAUGUCAGAUUAGCUAGUUGGUGGGGUAAAGGCCCACCAAGGCGACGAUCUGUAGCUGGUCUGAGAGGACGACCAGCCACACUGGAACUGAGACACGGUCCAGACUCC